Molecule: transfer RNA, 73 nt
Filed under: Marmota monax (woodchuck)
Lineage: Eukaryota; Metazoa; Chordata; Mammalia; Rodentia; Sciuridae
Description: tRNA.Tyr
Source: RNAcentral
UGUGGAUGUAGUCCAGUGGCACAGUACUUGUGUUGUAAGCACAAAGCCCUGGGUUCAAUCCUCAGCACCACAA